This is a long non-coding RNA of Belonocnema kinseyi, 707 nucleotides long. RefSeq lists it as uncharacterized. NCBI's taxonomy places the organism in Eukaryota, Metazoa, Arthropoda, Insecta, Hymenoptera, Cynipidae. The transcript is spliced from 3 exons. The record is from RefSeq and is a predicted model, not a curated record.
UUCACCUGGGCUGUUGCGCCAGAUUUCGAAAAAGUACAUAUAAUGAGGAGACUGUCGCGAACUUUUUAAAUUAAAGUUGUUAAAGAGCACUGAUAUUGCAUACAGAAGCAUGAGUGGGUGCUCAACUAGUAGGUGAUUGCAACAAUUUUCCAAUUAUUCACGUGCACCGGAAACGUCAAAUAGAAAAAAUGGAAAGUGCUGAAUUGCAAGAAGGGCUUGACUGACUCUGGUUUUUCUAUAGCCUACUUAAAAACUGUUCUCGAUUGCUGGAAGGAAAUCGUGACUGCAGCUAUAUGGUGGAUGAUCGUCGCAAAGCAGAUUGUUGUAGGCUCAUGGAUUAUAGCGCAGGGGACCGCCUCAUGAUGUGUACUUGUCAGAGGGAAUUCUCCAUAGUCAUCCCCCAUAGCCGGUGAAAUUCCAUUCUUCAAUAUAGGAUUUCGUGAAAGGACAUCAGCAACAUAAUUUAUUCGUCCCGGUCGCUAAACAAUUUUAUAAAGGUACUCGCUCAAUUUGAUUCUCCAGUGGGCCAACCUAGAAACAGGAUCCUUUAAAUUGUCUAACAAUACGAAAGGCAUCGUUCAAAGUCCUAGAGGUAAAAGCAAUUGGUAAGUCUUGACUCAAAUUUCCUUGACUCAAGACUGCCCCCGAUACAAAAUCAGAAGCAUCGCUACUAAGAAUAAAAGCCUAGUGAAGGCAGUCUGUUCCAA